UACGGAGGAUGCGAGCGUUAUCCGGAUUUAUUGGGUUUAAAGGGUGCGUAGGCGGGAUGCCAAGUCAGCGGUAAAAAUGCGGUGCUCAACGCCGUCGAGCCGUUGAAACUGGCGUUCUUGAGUGGGCGAGGAGUAUGCGGAAUGCGUGGUGUAGCGGUGAAAUGCAUAGAUAUCACGCAGAACUCCGAUUGCGAAGGCAGCAUACCGGCGCCCUACUGACGCUGAGGCACGAAAGCGUGGGUAUCGAACAGG
Molecule: ribosomal RNA, 252 nt
Filed under: uncultured bacterium
Lineage: Bacteria
Description: partial 16S ribosomal RNA
Rfam family: Bacterial small subunit ribosomal RNA
Source: RNAcentral